CCAUGGGUGGCCUUGCUGGUAAGGCACUUGGCUGCUAAACAAGAGGCUGGAGGUUCGAGGCCACCUACAGGCA
This 73-nucleotide transfer RNA is filed under the name Loxodonta africana (African savanna elephant). It matches the Rfam family "tRNA". From Rfam's summary of the family: Transfer RNA (tRNA) molecules are approximately 80 nucleotides in length. Their secondary structure includes four short double-helical elements and three loops (D, anti-codon, and T loops). Further hydrogen bonds mediate the characteristic L-shaped molecular structure. tRNAs have two regions of fundamental functional importance: the anti-codon, which is responsible for specific mRNA codon recognition, and the 3' end, to which the tRNAs corresponding amino acid is attached (by aminoacyl-tRNA synthetases). tRNAs cope with the degeneracy of the genetic code in two manners: having more than one tRNA (with a specific anti-codon) for a particular amino acid; and 'wobble' base-pairing, i.e. permitting non-standard base-pairing at the 3rd anti-codon position. Lineage: Eukaryota; Metazoa; Chordata; Mammalia; Proboscidea; Elephantidae. The record is from Rfam by way of RNAcentral.